UACAGAGGGUGCGAGCGUUGUUCGGAAUUACUGGGCGUAAAGCGCGCGUAGGCGGCUUUGCAAGUCGGGUGUGAAAUCCCCAGGCUUAACCUGGGAACUGCAUUCGAGACUGCAUUGCUAGAGUAUGGGAGAGGGAAGUGGAAUUUCCGGUGUAGCGGUGAAAUGCGUAGAUAUCGGAAGGAACAUCAGUGGCGAAAGCGACUUCCUGGACCAAUACUGACGCUCAUGUGCGAAAGCGCGGGGAGCAAACAGG
Molecule: ribosomal RNA, 253 nt
Filed under: uncultured bacterium
Lineage: Bacteria
Description: partial 16S ribosomal RNA
Rfam family: Bacterial small subunit ribosomal RNA
Source: RNAcentral